UAGGGAAUCUUCCACAAUGGACGCAGUCUGAUGGAGCAACGCCGCGUGAGUGAAGAAGGGUUUCGGCUCGUAAAGCUCUGUUGUUAAAGAAGAACGUGGGUAAGAGUAACUGUUUACCCAGUGACGGUAUUUAACCAGAAAGCCACGGCUAACUACGUGCUAG
RNAcentral lists this ribosomal RNA (163 nucleotides) under uncultured bacterium. Its description in RNAcentral is "partial 16S rRNA". It matches the Rfam family "Bacterial small subunit ribosomal RNA", at positions 355 to 511 of the family's 1533-position model. The record is from RNAcentral.